Long non-coding RNA from Myotis lucifugus (little brown bat), 784 nucleotides. RefSeq lists it as uncharacterized. The record is from RefSeq and is a predicted model, not a curated record. Lineage: Eukaryota; Metazoa; Chordata; Mammalia; Chiroptera; Vespertilionidae. The transcript has 4 exons.
CCCCCGCCUGGAAGAGCAGACACUGAAUGUACCUUCAAAGUAAUAACUUGUGGCCCUGGUUGAUCUGUAGAUGACCCUGGCCAGCAUCUGGUUGUCAGGCUGUGUUUAAACACAUGCAUUCAACUGGCAAAGAGGACUUUAAAUAAAUCACAAGUGUAAUUGGCAAACACCAGGAAGGGUUGCGCUGCAGGGACAUGCUCUGGACACCCUGCUCCAGGACUACAGUGGACAGCAGGCCCUGGCUGUCCUAACGUGCUGUGCUAACAGGAAACCAAUCCAUCCGGGUUUAUUCCCUGCCCUACUCUUUCCACUUCUGUAACUGUGUAACUUCAAUAACCUUUGUAAGGUCGGUAGCUCCAGCAAAAGAAAGAAAAAGACGGACAGACCAGUGUAAAUCCAGCUAUCGGCUGAGGUGGCCCAGCCCAGGGAGCAGCCCAGCAGACAAACUAGGAACCCACUCUAGACCCCAGUGAUCUCUGCACAGACGCAGAACUGGCUUCAUCCAAGCCUGGAAGGCGGUGUGCUGACCGUGUACUCCGACACUGACCUUUGGUUUGCCAGCCCGGUUGGUAACCAGCCUGAUGUCCUUCACGGUGCCAUGAGCCUUACAGAUCUCUUCAAGUUCCUCUUUAGUGCAGGAAAAGGGGGGAAACAAACAUUGGCCUCCCGCCUACAUUCUUCCGGUCCAACUGCAGCGCCUGCAGGGCCGACUUCUCCUCCUUGAACUCCACGUAGCAGUAGCCUCGGAAAUCGCCCCGGUUGCUGAAGAUGGGGCGGACCUCGA